This is a long non-coding RNA of Gallus gallus (chicken), 2362 nucleotides long. NCBI's taxonomy places the organism in Eukaryota, Metazoa, Chordata, Aves, Galliformes, Phasianidae. The record is from Ensembl.
UUUUGCCUUUGUAAGUGAACUCUGGAGUAACUACUUGUGUUUGUGGGCAGUGCAGUUGCAGAGAGAGAAGGCAGUCAGCUGCCUGGACACAGAGUCCUAUCCCUCCUUUGCACCAGCAGCUAUUCCAGACACACCAAGCCGUGGACCCUCUGACAGCACUCUUUGCUAUUGUAUCUGUCAGGGAAGUGUUCCUAACAGACGUGGCCUUGGCAGCAAUCCUUGCUUACCAACAUGCCCUUGUGAGGUGCUCUUUUCAUGCCACCUCCCCCGAAUUGUCUUUGUAUUUCUGUUUGGCAGUCGUCAUGUUCUUUCUCUUCUAGAGACUCUCCUUUAGGAAGUAUGCUCCAUGGUUCAGUUACUCACAAGAAGACUGAUGGCUGGAAGAAAACCAACAAAAGCCCAAGCAGGCUAGCAGGAGGUUGGCUGACAAGGUGUUAUGGAGUUCUUAGCAUCUCCAGCUCCCAUUGCUACGUAGAGGAAUCCAGGGGCACUGAGAGCCUCUGGAAAAUACUCAUAGAAGAGUCCUCCAAAAAAGGAAGAGAGAUUUUCUAUGAAGCUAUUCUAUGGUCCCGUAAUUACCUGUACAGUCUGUAAGUGCAUCCACAGGUUCACACGGGACCCAGAAACUCUCAGAAGAUAAUGAUAUAUCAAAACCUGACGUUUCUGGGGAAGAAUGUAGUUCAAUCUGUGUGUUUUCACUCCAGUUAGAAAAACUGUAUGCAAUGUCACGUUAACUUCAUCUCCCACUCCAGUGACGCUAUUUCUCCUUCAACCACAUACCCACAGACUCUGCUCUUAUUCCCUGAAGCGGAUAACAGAGAGCUUGGAGCCCAAGGUGCUGAAACGUAGGAAGAAACAUCGCCUCCUCCUGUAGUUCAUGGCAAGCAGGGCUGUCAUAUCUGGGCAGCUAAGCAGAGAACAAUGGCAUCUGCAUGGAAAGCAGCUGGGAACGGCAAGUGGGAUACAGAAAUAUUGAGAUUCUGUUGUUUUUCUAAACGCAACAGGACAUAAGUGGCAUACAUGACUUACAAACAUGACUUAGAAACCAUCCCAACUAUCUACUGUCACUCCGCUUUUAGUCCCACACUGACCUGCACUUCUUAGUACUUUGGAAAUGAGAUUGCUGCACACGUGGAACUUUAGCAACUGCAGGAGGAAACUUGCAAAAGAAGGUCAAGCCGACAUGAGGGCCUUCCUGAGAAGAGCCUGGGUCUUUGCUUGCAGACAGGAUUACAGCUAAAUCAGAAAUCAUGCCCUUUAGCAGGAGGACAUGUAUGAUCUGCAGCAGCCGGAAAACCUGUCUCUUUAGAAGCCACAGUCUUCCAAACUGUUAAUGCUGACAAUGAUGCAGCAAAACUACUAUAGAUUUCCAGAGGCUAAUUAUGAACAGGUGAUGAUUUGAGCAAAAAUUCAGAAAUCAAACAUUGAGCUCAGUUUGAGCUCAUUUAGGUUGCUAUUCAGCAUCAGUAAAAUAUUUAUAAUGCACAAACACAAUGAAGUUUUAUGUAAACCUGCUUUUGAGGGGAAAAAAAAAAGAUAACUACAAAUAAAAGAGAAAAGAAUUUGGUUUAAUAAGUUCUCCUUUACAUGCAAAUUACCUCCAAGCAACUGAUAAAGGUAAACACCACUAACUUAUUUAGGGAGAAGUGGCAGCCCAUAUGGGUUAGACCAGUGAGCUCUACUGAUGUCAGAAAUACAUCCCCAGGUCAGAGCAUGGCCAAGCAAGUAGUAAAUUCAGGCUGAGAGCACUGGAUGCUGGGAGAAGGCAGGAGAAGCACUGGUGAGAGCUUUGCAUCUCUUGGAAAGCACUGUGGAAAUGUUUAAUUUGCAUGCAAAAAGAGAUGCAGAUGGCCCUUCAAUGUAAUGGUUAGCCUUGACAUCUUUGAGAGUAUCUCCAUUUUAUCUAUAUGCAUUUGUAUUUUUCUCCAGCCUGUAAAGGGAAGGAGGAGGCUGAAGUCCCACCACCAUAUGGCAGAGGAGAAAUGGAGACAUCAGCAUCUCGCCGGUAUGGUUUGCAGCGAGCAUUCGCCCUACCCUAUAAAUGCAAUGGGAGACUUAAGCCCAUAGCUGACAUGGAAAUGAAAGUUUUGGUGAAUGAGUCUUCUUGAAGUAAUAAAUGCAUUUUCUUGCUUCUUAGCAAAAUACAUCUUCUCUUAUCUUCUGACAUCACCUGAUUAAACCCUUUACUGCAGGAGAAGGGAGCCGCACGCUCCCCGCUGAAGAAGAGGAAAUGCGCCAGGCUCCAUUUUAAUUGGAUAAUUGGAGAAAGAAAGUUAGUAGCAUUGGUGAGCAAUGUCACAUGAACCUAAUUGCCAAAUUCCUGGGUUUGCUUACACGGGUUUGUUUUCUUUUCAUUUUGCUG